This 774-nucleotide ribosomal RNA is filed under the name uncultured Neocallimastigales. RNAcentral's name for it is "partial large subunit ribosomal RNA". It matches the Rfam family "Eukaryotic large subunit ribosomal RNA", at positions 20 to 644 of the family's 3401-position model. The record is from RNAcentral. Lineage: Eukaryota; Fungi; Neocallimastigomycota; Neocallimastigomycetes; Neocallimastigales.
CAUCACUACGCUAGAUGCAUAUCAAUAAGCGGAGGAAAAGAAACUAACAAGGAUUCCCUUAGUAACGGCGAGUGAAGCGGGAAGAGCUCAAAUUUGAAAUCUUCAAGGUUUUACCUUGACGAAUUGUAGUUUAAAGAAGUGUUUUCUGUUGGAGUUUUGGUAAAAGUUCUUUGGAAUAGGACAUCAUAGAGGGUGAGAAUCCCGUAUUUGACCAUUAUUUCCAGCUGUGUGAUACACUUUCAAAGAGUCGGAUUGUUUGGGAAUGCAGUCCAAAAUGGGUGGUAAAUUUCAUCUAAAGCUAAAUAUUGGCGAGAGACCGAUAGCGAACAAGUACCGUGAGGGAAAGAUGAAAAGAACUUUGAAAAGAGAGUUAAACAGUACGUGAAAUUGUCAAAAGGGAAGCGUUUGACACCAGUGUUGUUUAGUUGAAAAUCAAUUCAAUAGUUUUUGAUUCUAAGUAGUAUUGACUUCAUCAGCUUGCUGCUUUCUUCUCAGAAAUUAUUGAAUGCACUUUUCAGUUAACAAGUCAUCAUCAAUUUCUUUUAUUGUAAAAGGGUAAGAGGAAGGUGGCUUGCGCUUCGGCUCAAGUGUUUAUAGCCUUUUAUCUCUGCAAUCGGAGAGAUUGAGGUCUGCAGCGUAGAUCCUUCGGGGUUAGAUACGUUGGUGCUAAGCUAUAGCCUUGUAUAGACAACUUGUUGACUAUGCUCAGUCAUGUAGCUUACUCGCUGAUGCUAUUUUACCUACGCUUAGGAUGUUGAAGAUAUGCGCGACACG